Daphnia carinata is the source of this 498-nucleotide long non-coding RNA. RefSeq lists it as uncharacterized. The record is from RefSeq and is a predicted model, not a curated record. The transcript is spliced from 3 exons. NCBI's taxonomy places the organism in Eukaryota, Metazoa, Arthropoda, Branchiopoda, Diplostraca, Daphniidae.
CUUCAUGGUGUAGGUUGUCGACGGUGCUUCGUAUGUGCCGUGAAUGUGCUGUGAAUGUGCUAAUCAUCUGUUGUUCGUGUCCAGCGGCCUGCCCAGUUCCUGCCCAGCUGCGGAUUGUUUCUAAGGAGUCGCAAACCGUUUUGCGUGGCAAUUUUUUUACAGUUUACUCAGGCCGGUUUAACGUUUUUUUAUUUCUUAAGUUCUUUUUUUGCCUUUUUCAUUAAUUUUAUUUUUCUUUUUUCAUAGGGAGCUCUGAUCAACGAAUUCUUAAACCGUUCUUCCGGACAAUUGAAAGCUUUUGCUUUCUCUUAUCACUCGUUUGGUAAAUGGUUGGAAGGAUUUAAACAUGCAAGAACAAUCAUCUUCUCGGGAAUUGUGGCCACGAACCAAAACCAUCAAUCGGCACAUUAGUUGUCGCUUGCACAACAAGUAUUAUCGUAAUAAUUCAAGCAUAAUGUAUUACAUUACAUAUUACAUUAAAAUAAAAAAGUCAAUUGA